Molecule: ribosomal RNA, 254 nt
Filed under: uncultured bacterium
Lineage: Bacteria
Description: partial 16S ribosomal RNA
Rfam family: Bacterial small subunit ribosomal RNA
Source: RNAcentral
UACGAAGGGGGCUAGCGUUGUUCGGAAUUACUGGGCGUAAAGAGCUCGUAGGCGGCUUGUUGCGUCGACUGUGAAAACCCGCGGCUCAACCGCGUGGCUUGCAGUCGAUACGGGCAGGCUAGAAUUCGGUAGGGGAGACUGGAAUUCCCGGUGUAGCGGUGAAAUGCGCAGAUAUCGGGAAGAACACCUAUGGCGAAGGCAGCUCUCUGGGACGGUACUGACGCUGAGACGCGAAAGCGUGGGGAGCGAACAGG